GAGGGUAUAGCUCAAGUGGUAGAGCACAUAAUUAGCAUAUACAAGGUCCUGGGUUCAAUCCCCAGUAGCUCCU
Molecule: transfer RNA, 73 nt
Filed under: Camelus ferus (Wild Bactrian camel)
Lineage: Eukaryota; Metazoa; Chordata; Mammalia; Artiodactyla; Camelidae
Rfam family: tRNA
About the family: Transfer RNA (tRNA) molecules are approximately 80 nucleotides in length. Their secondary structure includes four short double-helical elements and three loops (D, anti-codon, and T loops).
Source: Rfam by way of RNAcentral